RNAcentral lists this ribosomal RNA (497 nucleotides) under uncultured bacterium. Its description in RNAcentral is "partial 16S ribosomal RNA". It matches the Rfam family "Bacterial small subunit ribosomal RNA", at positions 28 to 507 of the family's 1533-position model. The record is from RNAcentral.
GAUGAACGCUGGCGGCGUGCCUAAUACAUGCAAGUCGAGCGAACAGACGAGGAGCUUGCUCCUCUGACGUUAGCGGCGGACGGGUGAGUAACACGUGGAUAACCUACCUAUAAGACUGGGAUAACUUCGGGAAACCGGAGCUAAUACCGGAUAACAUGUUGAACCGCAUGGUUCAACAGUGAAAGACGGUCUUGCUGUCACUUAUAGAUGGGUCCGCGCCGCAUUAGCUAGUUGGUAAGGUAACGGCUUACCAAGGCAACGAUGCGUAGCCGACCUGAGAGGGUGAUCGGCCACACUGGAACUGAGACACGGUCCAGACUCCUACGGGAGGCAGCAGUAGGGAAUCUUCCGCAAUGGGCGAAAGCCUGACGGAGCAACGCCGCGUGAGUGAAGAAGGUCUUCGGAUCGUAAAACUCUGUUAUUAGGGAAGAACAAAUGUGUAAGUAACUAUGCACGUCUUGACGGUACCUAAUCAGAAAGCCACGGCUAACUACGUG